Non-coding RNA from Odocoileus virginianus texanus, 1021 nucleotides. The record is from RefSeq and is a predicted model, not a curated record. NCBI's taxonomy places the organism in Eukaryota, Metazoa, Chordata, Mammalia, Artiodactyla, Cervidae.
GUCACAGCUACUGAGUCUGCGUCCCAGUGUCCCUGAGCUCCGGCUACCGAGCUUGCGCGAUGCCAGUCCUGAAACCCACGUGCGGAGAGCGCCAGCUCCACAGCCGGAGAGGCCACAGCGAUGAGAAGCUUGUGCAGCAUAGCCGGAGGGUGGUUCCGGCUCUUCGCCACUCAGUGACGGAGACCCAGCGCAGCCGGGUACCUACAGACAUAAACAGACAGGGGAUUCAGCGGAGCUCAAAGAAUUUGCCAAGUGAAACAAGGACAUCCUAGGAGCCGAAAUUGGUGUAAAUCCCACAGCAUGAGCUGCCCAAACUUCUGUGGGAUUCAGAAGUUUCAUGGAGCAUAGACAACUUCCUGGUGGGAGAUGAGAACAUUAUGUACAAAUAACUGUCUGCACAGGGAGGAACUUGGCACUAUGACUCCCAGAGGCGGAUCACAGCGUCGCACCCAAUGUGUCGAAAGCUGAGAGAGUUGAGGAGGAUUGCUGAGAAGAGAAGGAGGCGGAGGGCGAUGAGAGGGAGGAAAGGAAAGCGAGUCCAAGUUCUUGACCUGCGGGAACUGCAGCCCCUGGAAACUGUGCGAUGCAUCCAAGCUCCCCACAUCCUACCAGUGUGUGUAGGUGCCUGGGUACUGACUACAAUCUGCUGAGACUGGGUCAGGGACCAGAUUUGUUUCCUAAGUUCAUGUUUUAGUAAGCCGCAACUUUCUAAAUGUGAUUACCUGAAUUAUCACAAGCAGAGUUUCAACGGAACCACAAAUCUGUAGACACAUCUGUCCAUGACAACGAACAGCCAUUUUUAGAGGAAUGGAAUUUAGCGUGGUGACCUCUGAAGUCCUUUUGCUGUUCAAAGGCCCUGUGGUUUUCUGUCAGAGACCAGACAGAUGGGACUGCUGAGAGAAAAUAGAUGGUUCCCAGUAUCUUGAGUGGACACAUUUCACACAUUGUAACCACGGCCCAGUGUUUGGUGUUUGUCCUGCAGAACCCAUAAAACUAAUAAACCUAGUUAUUGCAUGUGGAA